This 445-nucleotide long non-coding RNA is filed under the name Phasianus colchicus (ring-necked pheasant). Its description in RNAcentral is "lncRNA (ENSPCLG00000017192.1)". Lineage: Eukaryota; Metazoa; Chordata; Aves; Galliformes; Phasianidae. The record is from RNAcentral.
GGCGUUAGCCCCGCGCCACCCCUGAGGGCCCGGCGCCACCGAAGUCCCACGCCGCCGCCGCCUGACACGCCCCCGUGCGCGGGCAGCCAAGCCAGGCCGGGCCGGGCCGGGCCGGGCCGGGCGGGGCGGGGCACGAGCGCCGUUGUUCAGGGAGGGCGGGACGGGGGCGUUACCUCGAGGCGGCUCCAGACAGCCGCGGCCCAGCCCGUCCCGGCGGUGCAGCCUCGGCGCGCUGCGCGGCCGUUGUGGGUUGGCGGAGCGGAACGGCACUUCCGGGCACAUGAUCCCUUCUCGAGCGCCGCUUUCUGUUGCCUGGGCGACGGCAGCUGCAGCCUGGUGGCGGCGUUUGAGAACCUCGUAUGAGAGCUGUCUUUCCGGCAGCGCUCGCCUGUGGUUCUCGCCUCUACGCCCUGUCAGGUCCCAACAAUCAGAGCGGGGCUGUUGA